UCAGGCGGCUAUGGCGCCGGGGUUCCACCUCUUCCCAUUCCGAACAGAGAAGUUAAGCCCGGCCGCGCCGAUGGUACUGCCCAGAAGGUGGGAGAGUAGGUUGCCGCCGUUC
This 112-nucleotide ribosomal RNA is filed under the name Tannerella sp. Lineage: Bacteria; Pseudomonadati; Bacteroidota; Bacteroidia; Bacteroidales; Tannerellaceae. The record is from RNAcentral.